This 433-nucleotide ribosomal RNA is filed under the name uncultured bacterium. RNAcentral describes it as "partial 16S ribosomal RNA". It matches the Rfam family "Bacterial small subunit ribosomal RNA", at positions 29 to 507 of the family's 1533-position model. The record is from RNAcentral.
AACGAACGCUGGCGGCAUGCCUAACACAUGCAAGUCGGACGAGACCUUCGGGUCUAGUGGCGCACGGGUGCGUAACGCGUGGGAACCUGCCCUUAGGUUCGGAAUAACUCCCCGAAAGGGGUGCUAAUACCGGAUAAUGUCUUCGGACCAAAGAUUUAUCGCCUUUGGAUGGGCCCGCGUUGGAUUAGCUAGUUGGUAGGGUAAAAGCCUACCAAGGCGACGAUCCAUAGCUGGUCUGAGAGGAUGAUCAGCCACACUGGGACUGAGACACGGCCCAGACUCCUACGGGAGGCAGCAGUGGGGAAUAUUGGACAAUGGGCGAAAGCCUGAUCCAGCAAUGCCGCGUGAGUGAUGAAGGCCUUAGGGUUGUAAAGCUCUUUUACCCGGGAUGAUAAUGACGGUACCGGGAGAAUAAGCUCCGGCUAACUCCGUG